RNAcentral lists this ribosomal RNA (253 nucleotides) under uncultured bacterium. Its description in RNAcentral is "partial 16S ribosomal RNA". It matches the Rfam family "Bacterial small subunit ribosomal RNA", at positions 524 to 776 of the family's 1533-position model. The record is from RNAcentral.
UACGGGGGGGGCAAGCGUUGUUCGGAAUUACUGGGCGUAAAGGGCGCGUAGGCGGUUUGCUAAGUUGAAUGUGAAAACUCUGGGCUUAACCCAGAGCCUGCAUUCAAUACUGGCAGGCUAGAGUUCUGGAGGGGAUAGCGGAAUUCCUGGUGUAGCGGUGAAAUGCGUAGAUAUCAGGAGGAACACCGGUGGCGAAGGCGGCCUUCUGGGCCUGUUCUGACGCUGAGGAGCGAAAGCGUGGGGAGCAAACAGG